Molecule: long non-coding RNA, 898 nt
Organism: Coregonus clupeaformis (lake whitefish)
Lineage: Eukaryota; Metazoa; Chordata; Actinopteri; Salmoniformes; Salmonidae
Exons: 4
Source: RefSeq, a predicted model, not a curated record
AUUCGUACUAGCCCGGGUCCAAAAUCGGUGCCGAAAAGUACUAUCCUCGAGUUAGCUUAAUUUCCAUUCCUGGUUACUUUUUCGUACAUGUGUAUUUGACCAGACCUGAGAAUUGUUUCUUGUCUGAAUAAGUACCACAGCAAGGGCUCUAGUUUGUACUAUACAUCUAUUGUUAAUAUUGUCAGGAGAGAUCAUCUGAAAUCAGUUUUUCCUCUCUUUCCUCACAUCUGAUUUUUGUGAGUGCCCAGAUCAACGAGACCUUCAAAGAGCAGGUCCUAUGUUUAAAACGGAUGAACUCAUUCCUCAUCAAGUACAGAGAAGAGGUGAUCGCCGAAAAGGAAGACCACUUGGGAGACCGGCAGCUCACUCAGUGCUACGUCCAGUACAUGACUACCAUCAUCAACAACUGUCAGACAUUCAAUUGAGUCCCACAGUAUGUGAUGGGUUUAGGAGAUGACCAGCAAGGCCCAUCGCAGAUUGGUGGUUGAGUGCAUCAAAGCCGUGAUUCAGAAAAGGGUCACCUUUAAAAACGCAAACGAGUGGAAAGAGGGAGCAUUUCCUCUUCAGGAAACUCACUGCUGCUGAGGGGACUGACCGACUGUGUGACUCCUUCACUGCCAUAGCCGAGGUGUUCAAAAUCCGACCCCACUGCGAUCUGCUGCAGCUAUUCACCAGGUGAUCUCUUUGUAUUUAGAGUGGAACAUCCCCCUCAACAACCUAAAUGGACUUGUCAAAAAUCGAAUGCAGCAAAAACUAUUUUUGAGUGGCAACAUCUCUUUCACAUAGAAAUCACCAAUUCUCUGCCAAUGUUGGUUGCAAUGACCCAACAUCGUGAACAUUUUAUAGACCAUAUGAAUUUUAAGAAUAGUGUAUGUUUUCGCAAACUUAAUGUUUUUGU